This 218-nucleotide unclassified non-coding RNA is filed under the name Hevea brasiliensis (rubber tree). Lineage: Eukaryota; Viridiplantae; Streptophyta; Magnoliopsida; Malpighiales; Euphorbiaceae. The record is from RNAcentral.
GGGUGAACCAUCUUUAACCUAUUGUUACUAGUAAUUGAAACAAUUCAAAAUCAUCUGAAUUCAAGAUGAAUGCAUUUUUACCGUAUGUAUGUUCAAUGAGUUUUGACAUGGAUGCGAGGGGGACAAGAAAGGUGAUUUUGCUGAGCAUUAUUGUAGAUCCUUGUAACUGUAGGCCUUGCUUAUGUUGUGUGCUUAUUCUGAUGUCUUUUCUCAUGUUU